This is a non-coding RNA of Malus domestica (apple), 918 nucleotides long. Lineage: Eukaryota; Viridiplantae; Streptophyta; Magnoliopsida; Rosales; Rosaceae. The record is from RefSeq and is a predicted model, not a curated record.
AACAUUUUAAGACAAAAAUACCCCUUGUCUUUUUCAAUAUUUACACCAUUCUCUGCCGCUGCUCUCUCUUCCCGUAGACUUCAUCCUCAUCCUUCCUCCUCAUCCUUCUUCUUCAUCCUCUCCCGUAGCCGUCGACUGCACCCAGCCAGCACACAGCAGCACGGAGCCACUACCGUCGCACUACAGAUUGACCCAGGUGGAGGUUCAAGUGAGGAAGUUGUAUUGUGUGAGUAAGGCUGCUGUUUUACCUAUUAACAUUGAGGAUGCUGCUCGGAGUGAUGUCGAAAUCGAAAAGGCUUUGCUGGUACAUUUAGAUGAUUUAUUUUGAAAGGGAUUAUUGAAGCUUUGUUAAGCUCUCUGGGACUUUCUCUCUUAGUAUGUGUAUAUUCAUUGGGUGGUAUGAUGGGUUUAUAGGCCGGCGAAACAAUUGUUUGAGUUAAUCAGGAUGCCCACUUGAAUAACCAAGUUCUUGAUUUGCGAACACCUGCGAAUCAAGGGAUAUUCCGCAUUCAGAGUCAACUUGGCAAUAUCUUUAGGCAGUUCUUGAUAUCCGAAUGCUUUUUUGAAAUCCACUCGCCAAAGCUGAUUGCUGGUUCAAGUAAAGGUGGAGCUGCUGUUUUUAGACUCAACUACAAGGGUCAAGAUGCCUGCCUUGCCCAGUCACCUCAGCUCACAAGCAGAUGUCUAUAUGUGGGGACUUCGGCCGUAUUUUUGAGAUUGGUCCUGUUUUUAGAGCUGAGGACUCCUUUACCCAUAGGCAUUUGUGUGAGUUCACUGGCCUUGAUGUUGAGAUGGAGAUCAAGAGGCACUACUUUGAGGUGGAAUUAGUAAUUUUUUAGGCAUUUAUUUACCUUUAUCGCCCUAUAUGACGAUGUAUGUUAACUUAUGGUGCAAUUAUAUGCUUGUUUGUUCAGGUCA